GAGGGCACAGCUCAAGUGGUAGAGCGCAUGCUUGGCACGCGUGAGGUCCGGGGUUCAAUCCCCAGUACCUCCU
This 73-nucleotide transfer RNA is filed under the name Camelus bactrianus (Bactrian camel). It matches the Rfam family "tRNA". Rfam says of the family: Transfer RNA (tRNA) molecules are approximately 80 nucleotides in length. Their secondary structure includes four short double-helical elements and three loops (D, anti-codon, and T loops). Lineage: Eukaryota; Metazoa; Chordata; Mammalia; Artiodactyla; Camelidae. The record is from Rfam by way of RNAcentral. RNAcentral also lists the same sequence under 2 other names.